GCAGCAGGCGCAACCACAUCAGCAGCAGGCGCAACCACAACAGCAGCAGGCGCAACCACAACAACAGCAGGCGCAACAACAACAGCAGCAGGCGCCACCACAACAGCAGAAGGCGCAACAACCACAGCAGGCGCAACAACAACAGCAGCAGGCGCAACAACAACAGCAGCCUCCGCCUCCUCCGCCGGCGGCAGGCCAACCUACCAGGCACUGUCACAAGCUCUGCUCAUCAUCCUAGGGACCAUGGGUCUGACCUUGCUAUAAAGCAGCUUUAAGAAGGUCCAAAAGUGGCAAAAACCUACAUUACAUAUAUUAACUACAUCAAAAAUAUAUGAACAAUUCGUAAAAUACUUUGUAUUUUUCAAUCCUCAGUUCAUUAAUGGAAGGAUAUUGUUAAUUAAAGGCCCAUGACGAUGCCUAGAAAUUAGCCUUAAAGAAGGAGCUAUUUAUUUUUCUAACAAUUUUGUCCUUUUGUUUGCCUUUGGGUGAGUUAUGAGUUUUGUGUAUAUUUCCACGCAUUCCAUUGUAUGUGUCAUGUAUUUAUUGUGUAAGUCUCAGACCGACAGGUUAUCAGGCACUGAACCAAUGUUCGUCCCCUCUCUCUUCGUUGAAUGAUGCCACUGGAUGGCAGAAACGAUACUGGCUUGUAUGUUAAAUAAACUUGCGAUUUGUGAUUAUCUAAGCACGAAAAUUAAGAGCAGUAUUAAAUUAAGUAAAUUCUGCUCACAGAAAAAACAUGCAUUCAAACAGUGGUGGUAUGAUCCGAUUGUUAUGCACUUUGUUGCAACAACUAGUAUGUUUUAUUUGUUUGUUAAAUAAAAUAUACCAGUCAACUUGA
Long non-coding RNA from Gadus macrocephalus (Pacific cod), 838 nucleotides. RefSeq lists it as uncharacterized. The record is from RefSeq and is a predicted model, not a curated record. The transcript has 2 exons. NCBI's taxonomy places the organism in Eukaryota, Metazoa, Chordata, Actinopteri, Gadiformes, Gadidae.